UACGAAGGGGGCUAGCGUUGCUCGGAAUUACUGGGCGUAAAGCGUGCGCAGGCGGUGAUGUAAGCCAGGUGUGAAAUCCCCGGGCUUAACCUGGGAACUGCAUUUGUGACUGCAUCGCUGGAGUGCGGCAGAGGGGGAUGGAAUUCCGCGUGUAGCAGUGAAAUGCGUAGAUAUGCGGAGGAACACCGAUGGCGAAGGCAAUCCCCUGGGCCUGCACUGACGCUCAUGCACGAAAGCGUGGGGAGCAAACAGG
This 253-nucleotide ribosomal RNA is filed under the name uncultured bacterium. Its description in RNAcentral is "partial 16S ribosomal RNA". It matches the Rfam family "Bacterial small subunit ribosomal RNA", at positions 524 to 776 of the family's 1533-position model. The record is from RNAcentral.